RNAcentral lists this ribosomal RNA (1396 nucleotides) under uncultured bacterium. Its description in RNAcentral is "16S ribosomal RNA". It matches the Rfam family "Bacterial small subunit ribosomal RNA". The record is from RNAcentral.
AGAGUUUGAUCCUGGCUCAGGAUGAACGCUAGCGGCAGGCUUAACACAUGCAAGUCGAGGGGCAGCAUGAGGAGUAGCAAUACACCUUGAUGGCGACCGGCGCAAGGGUGCGUAACGCGUGAGCAACAUUCCCGAUUCUGGGACAUAACCGGUGGAAACGCCGACUAAUUUCCCAUAACAACAGUUUUGACAUCAUUACUGUUUAAAAGAUUUAUCGGAAUCGGAUUGGCUCGCGUGAUAUUAGUUAGUUGGUGAGGUAAUGGCCCACCAAGACUACGAUAUCUAGGGGUUCUGAGAGGAAGGUCCCCCACAUUGGAACUGAGACACGGUCCAAACUCCUACGGGAGGCAGCAGUGAGGAAUAUUGGUCAAUGGCCGCAAGGCUGAACCAGCCAUGCCGCGUGAAGGUUAAGGUCCUAUGGAUUGUAAACUUCUUUUGUACGGGAGCAAUAAGUUCUACGUGUAGAGCGAUGAGAGUACCGUACGAAUAAGCAUCGGCUAACUCCGUGCCAGCAGCCGCGGUAAUACGGAGGAUGCAAGCGUUAUCCGGAUUUAUUGGGUUUAAAGGGUGCGUAGGCGGUAUGAUAAGUCAGCGGUGAAAUGUUCUCGCUCAACGAGAAAAGUGCCGUUGAUACUGUUGUACUAGAGUUCGGAUGCCGUGGGAGGAAUGUGUAGUGUAGCGGUGAAAUGCCUUAGAUAUUACACAAAACACCGAUUGCGAAGGCAUCUCACGAAUCCGACACUGACGCUGAGGCACCAAAGUGUGGGGAUCAAACAGGAUUAGAUACCCUGGUAGUCCACACUGUAAACGAUGAUAACUAACCGUUGGCGAUAUACAGUCAGUGGCUAAGCGAAAGCGAUAAGUUAUCCACCUGGGGAGUACGUUCGCAAGAAUGAAACUCAAAGGAAUUGACGGGGGCCCGCACAAGCGGAGGAACAUGUGGUUUAAUUCGAUGAUACGCGAGGAACCUUACCCGGGCUUGAAAGUUACUGAAUAAUCUAGAGAUAGAUUAGCUAGCAAUAGCAGGAAACUAGGUGCUGCAUGGUUGUCGUCAGCUCGUGCCGUGAGGUGUCGGCUUAAGUGCCAUAACGAGCGCAACCCUUGUCGUCAGUUACCAUCAGGUUAUGCUGGGCACUCUGGCGAGACUGCCACCGCAAGGUGUGAGGAAGGGGGGGAUGACGUCAAAUCAGCACGGCCCUUACGUCCGGGGCGACACACGUGUUACAAUGGUGAGUACAGAAGGCAGCUACCUGGCGACAGGAUGCAAAUCUUCAAAACUCAUCUCAGUUCGGAUUGGAGUCUGCAACUCGACUCCAUGAAGUUGGAUUCGCUAGUAAUCGCGCAUCAGCCAUGGCGCGGUGAAUACGUUCCCGGGCCUUGCACACACCGCCCGUCA